RNAcentral lists this ribosomal RNA (346 nucleotides) under uncultured bacterium. RNAcentral describes it as "partial 16S ribosomal RNA". It matches the Rfam family "Bacterial small subunit ribosomal RNA", at positions 338 to 681 of the family's 1533-position model. The record is from RNAcentral.
CCUACGGGAGGCAGCAGUGAGGAAUAUUGGUCAAUGGCCGUAAGGCUGAACCAGCCAAGUAGCGUGAGGGAAGACUGCCCUAUGGGUUGUAAACCUCUUUUAUGCGGGGAUAAAGGUGUCCACGUGUGGAUGUUUGCAGGUACCGCAUGAAUAAGGACCGGCUAAUGCCGUGCCAGCAGCCGCGGUAAUACGGAAGGUCCGGGCGUUAUCCGGAUUUAUUGGGUUUAAAGGGAGCGUAGGCCGGUCUUUAAGCGUGCCGUGCAAUUUUGUGGCUCAACCAUGAGAGUGCGGCGCGAACGGGUGCCCUUGUGUGCGCGUCAGGCCGGCGGACUUCGUGUUGUAGCGG